Molecule: long non-coding RNA, 1773 nt
Filed under: Mus musculus (house mouse)
Lineage: Eukaryota; Metazoa; Chordata; Mammalia; Rodentia; Muridae
Description: long non-coding RNA chr5:150710379-150712152
Source: RNAcentral
UUUGGGGACAGCUCCCUGUCUGCUGCAAGUAGCAAGGAGUCUCUCCCUUGCCCAUGUCACAACAGAGUAGACAGGUGGUGGGGUUUAUCUCUCUCUUCUGUUCUCAUUGCCUCCAGGGCCAGCUUUCUCUCAAUGCCCAGGUAAGCGAUGACAGCAAUUCUGCACAGCCCUCAGACAAGUCCUCGGGUGGCAGCCCAGACCAGGGAUAUGUGCCUGACCUUUCUCUUCCAUUUCUCCACCACCACUUUCUUGCUCCUCUUAGUGGCGUUCAGGGUCUCUGGUCUUAGGAGUGCUAUGCCUCACCCAAGUGGCUAUUGCAAGGGUUGUCUGUCUCAGGCUUACUCCUGCCCAGUCCUGUAGUCCCAGGCAGCGUUCUUUUAGUCUCUGGCUUGUUCCUUGUCUUGGGAGCCCAUCCAGGCCCCUUGGCACCAGAUUGGUGGUUGUCUCAAGCUCACUUUUUUCAGGCAAUCUUAAGCUACCAAUUAUUCAGAUGUUCACAGGUCAGAGCACUGAGUGUAGACAUAGCCCCUCUUCUCUCUGCCACCUGCUGACCCACAUGUGACAGAGCAGCCUCACCGGGGCAGGACACAGCUGACUUUUUUUAUGAAUGCUGGAGAUCAAACUCAGGUCUUCAUGCUUAUGUCACAAGCACGUUAACUGCCUGACAUGUUUCCUCAAUUUCACGUUCAUUUCUUUUUUCCUUUAUUUUAUGUGUAUGGGUGUUUUGCCUGAAUGUUUGUCUUGUACCACAUAUGUGCAGUGACUGCCGAGGCCAGAAACAGGCAGUGGAUCCUUUGGAACUUGAGUUAGAGACGGUCAUGAUCCUUCAUGUAGGUGUUGGGGAUUAAAGCCAGAUUCUCUGGAAGAUCUGUUGGUGCUCUUUAAUGCUGAGCUAUUCUCUGUCCCUUUUAUCACAUUUUAAAAAAAUUAAGUGUUUAAAUUUGCAUAGCAUAAGCAGUAGAUAUUAUCAAAAUAUUGUAUGGUCUUUUCAAUAAAACUUUAGAAUGAAGUUUUAGACCUAUAAAAUAGAGUUGCCCUUUAAGAGUUAUGACUUAAUUUUUCUCAAGUUAAGAUUUUUUUCUAUCAUCUCUGUUAUAACCAGGGCAUACAUUUUAUACAUUUUCCUUAUUUGCUCACCACUCAUUAUAUUGGUGUAUGUGUGUUCACCUGCAUGAUGUUGAAGCCAGAAGCUUAUGUUGGAUCUUUACUUCUAUCGUUCUCCAUGUAGUUUUCAUCAGGUUCUUACUGAAUCUAGGCUAGACUGUCAGGCCUUCCAGCCCCUGGGUCUGUGUGUGUGUUCUUCUUCGCAGUGCUGGGCUACAGGCUUGUGCCAGCAUACCCAGCCUUUUAUGGAGGCGCUGGGGAAAACUUGGAUCCGUAUGCUUAUGCAGCAAGCAUCCUAACAUGUGACACCAUUGCUUUAGCUGCUCUUUUUGUAUAUAUAAAAUAUACAGUGCUAUAAUAUAGUAUAUUUCACCAAAUAAAUUCUCAGUUAACAUUUAAAUAGGUGGCUUUUCAGGAACAAAUACUUGGAAUUUUAUAGUUAUUUUCUUUUUUUUUCCUAUUAAAAAUACUUUUUAACUUGUUGGGUCAGUAUUGUAAGCCAUUGCCCGAAUUCCUUUUCUUAUCACUGUUUCCUAAAACGGGCUCUCUAUUUCAGUGGUUCUUAACCUGUGACUUGCAACCCUUUCAUAGGGUUUGCCUGAGACCACCAGAAACACAGAUAAUUUACAUUACGAUUCACAACAGUAGCAAGAUUAAUUAUGAGAUAGC